UACACUGGUUCUCAUACAAUCACUGAAGUUAAGCAUCACCAAGCCUGGUCAGUACCUAGAUGGGUGAGCUUUUAGGAAUACCAGGUGCUGUAAG
Non-coding RNA from Acanthosepion pharaonis, 94 nucleotides. The record is from the annotation of a GenBank genome assembly. NCBI's taxonomy places the organism in Eukaryota, Metazoa, Mollusca, Cephalopoda, Sepiida, Sepiidae.